RNAcentral lists this ribosomal RNA (402 nucleotides) under Escherichia coli. RNAcentral's name for it is "partial 23S ribosomal RNA". It matches the Rfam family "Bacterial large subunit ribosomal RNA", at positions 1 to 433 of the family's 2925-position model. The record is from RNAcentral. Lineage: Bacteria; Pseudomonadati; Pseudomonadota; Gammaproteobacteria; Enterobacterales; Enterobacteriaceae.
GGGUUGUGAGGUUAAGCGACUAAGCGUACACGGUGGAUGCCCUGGCAGUCAGAGGCGAUGAAGGACGUGCUAAUCUGCGAUAAGCGUCGGUAAGGUGAUAUGAACCGUUAUAACCGGCGAUUUCCGAAUGGGGAAACCCAGUGUGUUUCGACACACUAUCAUUAACUGAAUCCAUAGGUUAAUGAGGCGAACCGGGGGAACUGAAACAUCUAAGUACCCCGAGGAAAAGAAAUCAACCGAGAUUCCCCCAGUAGCGGCGAGCGAACGGGGAGCAGCCCAGAGCCUGAAUCAGUGUGUGUGUUAGUGGAAGCGUCUGGAAAGGCGCGCGAUACAGGGUGACAGCCCCGUACACAAAAAUGCACAUACUGUGAGCUCGAUGAGUAGGGCGGGACACGUGGUAUC